This is a long non-coding RNA of Acanthochromis polyacanthus (spiny chromis), 333 nucleotides long. RefSeq lists it as uncharacterized. Lineage: Eukaryota; Metazoa; Chordata; Actinopteri; Pomacentridae. The record is from RefSeq and is a predicted model, not a curated record. The transcript has 3 exons.
GUGGCCACAUCAGUGGAUGAGGAUCCAAACAGCAGCCAUCAGGUGCCGGGUCCUGAGGAACAUGUGGAGCCACUGUCCUCUGAUAUAAAUAAGACAUCAGUGGAUGGCGACCCAAACAGAAGACACCAAUUUCAGGGUCCUGAGGAAGAUGUGAAAACAUUUUACUCUGAUUUAAAUAAGUCAUUUCAAUCCAGGAUUGCUAAGCUGAAACAGCACCAUGACAGAUGCUCUGAACGUUUUGAGGCCUCAGAGGAUGACCGCAAUGCAGCUGACAGACAGCAGACUCUCAUGUUGCAUCAGCGUGUGCUUCUUGAUCAACAGUUAGCACAGCAG